UUAGCUUAUUUUUUUUUGUUUUCAAUCCAGUAUUCGCCGCUCAGAAGAGCAGACUCCGCUAUAAAAUAACUAAAGAGUUUGGCGCUGCCGGCAGGCGGUCCCGCUGGCCCAAAAGCCAGCCGGACCCGCCGGGUGCAGGAUCGACGAGGCUCUCGCCCCGCCAAAGCUGCGCACCGGCUGACCCGCCGAAGCAACGCCGCAAUAGGGGUAUAAUGGUAAGGUUCACAGGGGUUUGGAGUGCUGAGACUCGCUAAUGAUCCCUCCGCUGGUUCACCAACGGAGA
RNAcentral lists this unclassified non-coding RNA (283 nucleotides) under uncultured fungus. RNAcentral describes it as "sequence contains ITS1". The record is from RNAcentral. Lineage: Eukaryota; Fungi.